GGAAUCUUCCACAAUGGACGAAAGUCUGAUGGAGCAACGCCGCGUGAGUGAAGAAGGUUUUCGGAUCGUAAAACUCUGUUGUUGGAGAAGAACACGUUUGAGAGUAACUGUUCAGACGUUGACGGUAUCCAACCAGAAAGCCACGGCUAACUACGUGCCAGCAGCCGCGGUCAUACGUAGGGUCCAAGCAUUAUCCGGAUUGACUGGGUGUAAAGAGUUGCGUAGGUGGCAGGGUAAGUAGAUAGUGAAAUCUGGUGGCUCAACCAUUCAGACUAUUAUCUAAACUGCUCCGCUCGAGAACGUUAGGUGUAGCUGGAAUUUCUAGUGUAGGAGUGAAAUCCGUAGAUAUUAGAAAGAACACCGAUAGCGUAGGCAGGCUACUGGGACGUUUCUGACACUAAGGCACGAAAGCGUGGGGAGCAAACG
RNAcentral lists this ribosomal RNA (426 nucleotides) under uncultured Candidatus Saccharibacteria bacterium. RNAcentral's name for it is "bacterial SSU rRNA". It matches the Rfam family "Bacterial small subunit ribosomal RNA", at positions 358 to 774 of the family's 1533-position model. Lineage: Bacteria; Candidatus Saccharimonadota. The record is from RNAcentral.